GAUGAACGCUAGCUACAGGCUUAACACAUGCAAGUCGCGGGGCAGCAUGGGGGUUGCUUGCAAUCCCCGAUGGCGACCGGCGCACGGGUGAGUAACGCGUAUCCAACCUGCCCUUCACCACGGGAUAACCCGGCGAAAGUCGGACUAAUACCGUAUGUUGUCCAUUGACGGCAUCCGAUUUGGACGAAAGGCUAGCGGUGAGGGAUGGGGAUGCGUCCGAUUAGCUUGACGGCGGGGUAACGGCCCACCGUGGCAACGAUCGGUAGGGGUUCUGAGAGGAAGGUCCCCCACACUGGAACUGAGACACGGUCCAGACUCCUACGGGAGGCAGCAGUGAGGAAUAUUGGUCAAUGGGCGGAAGCCUGAACCAGCCAAGUAGCGUGCAGGAUGACGGCCCUAUGGGUUGUAAACUGCUUUUAUGCGGGGAUAAAUGAGCCCACGUGUGGGUUUUGCAGGACCGCAUGAAUAAGAC
Molecule: ribosomal RNA, 472 nt
Filed under: Prevotella sp. oral taxon 317
Lineage: Bacteria; Pseudomonadati; Bacteroidota; Bacteroidia; Bacteroidales; Prevotellaceae
Description: bacterial SSU rRNA
Rfam family: Bacterial small subunit ribosomal RNA
Source: RNAcentral